UGGACAUUUAUUUUAAAGUGUUUUCUUCUUACGGUGAAGAUAACUCUUUGUAAAUGUUCUAGAAAAAUAGAGUUCUGUGUGCCUUUGCAAGAAAAAGGAUGCAUCGUUCCACUACUGACAUUU
Molecule: small nucleolar RNA, 123 nt
Organism: Sorex araneus (European shrew)
Lineage: Eukaryota; Metazoa; Chordata; Mammalia; Eulipotyphla; Soricidae
Source: Ensembl